AGGUGCUCUCCUGCUGACCUCUCCAGGUGCUGACCAUCUAUUAUUGGCCCUGGCAUCAAACUGUCCUGGUUUAAUGGGAACCUCAGCUUUCUGCUACAGAAAAGGAAUAUGAUGGAUGCCUUGUUCUUCCUGAGCCCUGUUGUUAAGGAACUGCUGGAAUCCUGAAGCAGACCUCACUGUUAACUGCACUCCU
Molecule: long non-coding RNA, 193 nt
Organism: Lepidothrix coronata (blue-crowned manakin)
Lineage: Eukaryota; Metazoa; Chordata; Aves; Passeriformes; Pipridae
Exons: 3
Source: RefSeq, a predicted model, not a curated record